Molecule: ribosomal RNA, 492 nt
Filed under: uncultured bacterium
Lineage: Bacteria
Description: partial 16S ribosomal RNA
Rfam family: Bacterial small subunit ribosomal RNA
Source: RNAcentral
AGUGAACGCUGGCGGUAGGCCUAACACAUGCAAGUCGAACGGCAGCACAGUAAGAGCUUGCUCUUACGGGUGGCGAGUGGCGGGCGGGUGAGGAAUACAUCGGAAUCUACUUUUUCGUGGGGGAUAACGUAGGGAAACUUACGCUAAUACCGCAUACGACCUACGGGUGAAAGCAGGGGAUCUUCGGACCUUGCGCGAUUGAAUGAGCCGAUGUCGGAUUAGCUAGUUGGCGGGGUAAAGGCCCACCAAGGCGACGAUCCGUAGCUGGUCUGAGAGGAUGAUCAGCCACACUGGAACUGAGACACGGUCCAGACUCCUACGGGAGGCAGCAGUGGGGAAUAUUGGACAAUGGGCGCAAGCCUGAUCCAACCAUACCGCGUGGGUGAAGAAGGCCUUCGGGUUGUAAAGCCCUUUUGUUGGGAAAGAAAAGCAGCAGGUUAAUACCCCGCUGUUCUGACGGUACCCAAAGAAUAAGCACCGGCUAACUUCGUG